UCCGUUUUGUCGACGGCAGUCUCUCUGGAGUGCUCGGCCGAACCGCUAGCAACUAAAGAUAAGGGUUGCGCUCGUUGCGGGACUUAACCCAACAUCUCACGACACGAGCUGACGACAGCCAUGCAGCACCUCGACUAGUGUCCCUUGCGGGAAAAGAAACUUUCAUCUCCUGUCACUAGCCGUUCGAGCCCAGGUAAGGUUCUUCGCGUUGCGUCGAAUUAAACCACAUACUCCACCGCUUGUGCGGGCCCCCGUCAAUUUCUUUGAGUUUUAAUCUUGCGACCGUACUUCCCAGGCGGCAUAUUUAACGCGUUUGCUACGCCACAAAAGGGGUCGAUUCCUUUUACAGCAAAUAUGCACCGUUUACAGCUAGGACUAC
RNAcentral lists this unclassified non-coding RNA (379 nucleotides) under uncultured bacterium. RNAcentral describes it as "contains 16S-23S intergenic spacer region". The record is from RNAcentral.